GCUUCCUACAAAGGUAAGUCUGUGACUCCUGUCCUUGGACAUAUAAGAGUUGGAGGCAAAGAGAUGUGGACUUGGAAAAGUCUGGAGCCAGUUUGCUCCCCACAGGCUCAAGAUAACCCUUUCCCACACAG
Molecule: small nucleolar RNA, 131 nt
Filed under: Dasypus novemcinctus (nine-banded armadillo)
Lineage: Eukaryota; Metazoa; Chordata; Mammalia; Cingulata; Dasypodidae
Description: Small nucleolar RNA SNORA38 (ENSDNOG00000038759.1)
Rfam family: Small nucleolar RNA SNORA38
About the family: ACA38 is a member of the H/ACA class of snoRNA that guide the sites of modification of uridines to pseudouridines.
Source: RNAcentral